UUACGGCCACAUCAGGUUGAACCACCAAUUGCCGUACUAUCACCAAAGUUAAGCAACGUUGAGCCUGUUCCGUACUUAGAUGGGUGACCGCUUGGGAAUACCAGGUACUGUAAG
Acanthosepion pharaonis is the source of this 114-nucleotide non-coding RNA. The record is from the annotation of a GenBank genome assembly. Lineage: Eukaryota; Metazoa; Mollusca; Cephalopoda; Sepiida; Sepiidae.